RNAcentral lists this long non-coding RNA (343 nucleotides) under Elaeis guineensis (African oil palm). RNAcentral describes it as "long non-coding RNA (EGUI_LNC054071)". The record is from RNAcentral. Lineage: Eukaryota; Viridiplantae; Streptophyta; Magnoliopsida; Arecales; Arecaceae.
CCAUCAAGUGUGCUAAGUUAGCCGAUCAUCAUGUUUGCCUGUGGUUUAGGGGUUGCCAAACUUUCCGCACACGUGGUAUGCACCCUCUCUAUUAUUCUUUACAAUCCUUCCAUAGGAUGUAUGCUGGCCAAGAUUUUUCCUAUGGCACAUGCAAGUGCGUGGAAGGUUCGAUCUCAACAAGGUUAGCUUGGAUUGGAACUCGUGCGAUUCACCCUCCUUAUCUUUGGCUCAUGUCCUCCCUUCAACAAGGUGGGCAUGAGAGCUUGCGAAAAAGAGAGUGUGGUGGUAUGCAAGUGGCUAGGGUAUUGGGAGGAAGGGUACGAGCCCAAUAGGGUCACUCGGA